RNA transcript from Symsagittifera roscoffensis, 1281 nucleotides. RefSeq lists it as uncharacterized. The record is from RefSeq and is a predicted model, not a curated record. The transcript has 4 exons. Lineage: Eukaryota; Metazoa; Xenacoelomorpha; Acoela; Convolutidae.
UGGCAACGUUUUUGGUAUGAAGAAACAAUCGGCUGUGUGUGCGUUGAACUUAACAAAACUUGACAAAGUCGCUUCAAAUGAAGUAUCUUUGCAUAUGGAGGGUUUCGAAAGAAAUUUAAGAGUGCUCUUUGACGAAAGUCCAGAGAGUCGAAUAGCGAUGGAUGGGGUGAAGGGCACUGGUUGGCGAGGAUGCAAAAAUAGAAGUUCUGGUUUAGGAGACAACGUGACUGAUCCAGAUUACCAUGGUUGGAAAUACAGUUUGUGUCCUCAUAUGGCGUGUGAAGUGGCAACAGUGACAGUGGAAUUAGUGGACUGUGAAAAUCUAUGGAGGGCGAAAGACAUGACCAACUUAGGGUACAAUGUCAGGACAUACUCCUCAGCAGAAGACACGAGGAAAAAGAAAUACAGUCCCAACAUUGUUUAAGGCUAGAGAACUCCCGUCUCAUCGAAGCUCUGACAGCUGACCAAUUUGACGAGAAAACAAAACAAGUUUUUAUGGAACCAGGCGACACAAAAACACUCAGUUGCCGAAUCAAGAAAGACCUUCUCGGCUCACAGACAGUUCACGAGAACGAUCCAGUCUAUUUCUACUUCGUCACUCCCGAAGGACGAAGAAUUGAUCAUGGUUUAACGAACUCAAAAUAUUCGAUUGAAGGCGCCUCUUUGAAACUUAAAGACAUUCAAGAAAGAGACAUAGGGGUGUAUUAUUGCGUCGUGGAGUUGAAGGAUUCUGUAAUUUUGGGAACGAGGUUUAAUGUGAGAAUCAGAAGCUGUCAUGAUACAGGUUGCAGUGGAACUGAUGUUUGCACCCAUCUUAAAAGGUCAAGUGGAAUCACAGAUUACAUAUGCAUACCGCUGGACUUCUUCGAGCCAGAUACAAUAGCGAUUGGAUAUAUGACGCCGCUUUGGAUGAGAAUUACUUUCUGGGUUUUGCUGUGCCUGUUUUUGGCUGCUAAUCUAGUCGGGAGUUUUUACUAUGUCGCUGCUAUGAAAGGGUUUCUAGGAACAGAAAAGCGUCAAAAACGACAUCACAAAUCGAAGAAAAAAGAAAAAAAAGAUUCAAAAAACUACAAUGAAACCGAGCUGUAACACUUGGAAGUUGAAUGAAAAUGCCAUAAAACUACUACGAAAAACUGAAGAACGUUUUGUGGUGAAAAUUUUUAUAACUUCUGUUCACAUAUUUAAUCAGUCUUCGCUAAUUGAAUACAAAAUUAGAAAAAAGAACAAUUUGUUAUUUUUGGGUUAUCGUUUGCAUUUGCCAUCUUGCUAGUUUAUUUCUAU